Homo sapiens (human) is the source of this 548-nucleotide long non-coding RNA. The record is from Ensembl. Lineage: Eukaryota; Metazoa; Chordata; Mammalia; Primates; Hominidae.
AGGCCGGAGGUGGGGCCCGAGUUCCUGUCUCCAGCCCACGAUUUGCCGAUCCAUCUGUCUUCCUCAGAGAGAGAGGGCGGAUAAUGCAGACUGCGCUUCCUUGGAAGACGGCAGGCUCCAGGCCAGACAAACGAAUGUAUCAACCAUACAGAUGAAGAGCUGAGGCUCAGGGAAGGAAUUUGCCAAGGUCACGAAGCUGUAAGACACAGAACCUGGGGUGUCUGCCUGUAGAGCUCACACUGACUCUACAGCCACUGAUCCAAAGCUUCAAUGAGCAAGAGAUGAAGUGACCCCUCCAACCCCACAGCUCAGCGUCUUUCUUGAAGCUCCAACUCCAGGGCCAUUGUUUUCCUGUUCUCCCCGCUCCAAGGCCUCUCCUCUCUCCUUGGCCCAACUCUCUGACAGUGAUGCAGGUUUGUUCACUUCACAGCCUCUAUGUGGAUGACUUCAGGAUCCCAGCACCAACCUGUUUCCCGAGGGCCAGGAUUAUUCGCCUGUCUGCCAGCUAUUGUCACCCGGCAUCUCAAAUGCAACAUUUCUAAAUCAGA